Molecule: ribosomal RNA, 465 nt
Filed under: uncultured bacterium
Lineage: Bacteria
Description: partial 16S ribosomal RNA
Rfam family: Bacterial small subunit ribosomal RNA
Source: RNAcentral
GAUGAACGCUGGCGGCGUGCUUAACACAUGCAAGUCGAACGGAAAGGCCCAAGCUUGCUUGGGUACUCGAGUGGCGAACGGGGGAGUAACACGUGGGUGAUCUGCCCUGCACUUCGGGAUAAGCCUGGGAAACUGGGUCUAAUACCGGAUAGGACCACACCUUGGAGGGUGUGGUGGAAAGUUUUUCGGUGUGGGAUGAGCUCGCGGCCUAUCAGCUUGUUGGUGGGGGAAUGGCCUACCAAGGCGUAGACGGGUAGCCGGCCUGGGAGGGGGGACGGCCACAUUGGGCCUAAGGUACGGCCCAGACUCCAACGGGAGGCAGCAGGGGGGAAUAUUGCCCAAUGGGCGCAAGCCUGAUGCAGAGACGCCGCGUGGGGGAUGACGGCCUUCGGGUUAUAAACUGCUUUCGCUUGGGACGAAGCGGUAGUGACGGUACCUGGAGAAGAAGCACCGGCUAACUACGUG